Gallus gallus (chicken) is the source of this 573-nucleotide long non-coding RNA. The record is from Ensembl. Lineage: Eukaryota; Metazoa; Chordata; Aves; Galliformes; Phasianidae.
GGAACCUUUAUGUCACAGCCUAAACUGAUGACUGAGAAUCUGGUGAAGAGGGUGGCUGGCCCAGGAAGCACAGGUGCAAGCAAUUCACCUGUGCUUCCCAGGUGACCAGAAGGGGUGGACCCUGGAUCCACCCCUCCCUGGGCUUAUUUAAGGGCCAGCCUCCAAAGGGAGAGUGUUUCUUCUAUGAAGGCUGCUUUCUGUGAGGGGGUGUUCUGUAGCUAGGGAUUCUUUCAUGAGUUGGCUGCUGAAUGGAUCAGUCUUUAAAUGGGUUGCACUGUGUGAGCAGUGAAUGCAAAGAAUGCACAACUUUUGUACCAGGUGCGUAAAUGGGAGAAGGCUGAAACCUGUGAGAGGGCCUGGAUCCAAGGGAUUUCCUGGUUCAUGCUGAAUGCUUACUAGGCAGAAGUCAUGAAGCAAUAAGAUUGGAGGAUGUUCAGCAGAAGUGACCAAACGCCUGGACUGCUUGAUGUUAUCCUGUUGUGAACUGAAGCUCACAGUCAGAUGCUCUGUGCAGUUUCCUUACAAUGAGGUUUAAAGGCAAGAGCCAGUGCUCUGUAAACAUCCAGUGAAAAC